Molecule: ribosomal RNA, 253 nt
Filed under: uncultured bacterium
Lineage: Bacteria
Description: partial 16S ribosomal RNA
Rfam family: Bacterial small subunit ribosomal RNA
Source: RNAcentral
UACAGAGGGUGCGAGCGUUAAUCGGAAUUACUGGGCGUAAAGCGCACGUGGGCGGUAAGGCAAGUCGGGUGUGAAAGCCCUGGGCUCAACCUGGGAAUUGCAUUCGAAACUAUCUGACUCGAGUAUGGGAGAGGGAAGCGGAAUUUCCGGUGUAGCGGUGAAAUGCGUAGAUAUCGGAAGGAACACCAGUGGCGAAGGCGGCUUCCUGGACUAAUACUGACGCUGAGGUGCGAAAGCGUGGGGAGCAAACAGG